AGUGCUGUGCAGCCAAAAAAAAAGGGCUUUGCAAAAAAGAGGGGGGCAGUGCUGUGAAACCUGCGAUGCACCUCCCUCCCAGGGACAGCCCUGCAGCGCAGCGGGGUCCUGGCCUGUGGACCUGAGCAGCUCACAGCCAGGGAGGGCUUACAGAGUCAGGGUCACAGGCCUGGCAGUUCCCCCUGUGAGACGGGACAGCAGGAUGAUGGGGAGUUGGAGGGCUGCGCCUGAAGCCUGGGAAGUGGGGCAUCUCUGCUCUUCUCGCCCACCCCCCUCUCCCAUUUCUCCAUGCAAGGCCGCGGUGUCCUC
Molecule: unclassified non-coding RNA, 309 nt
Filed under: uncultured bacterium
Lineage: Bacteria
Description: contains 16S-23S intergenic spacer region
Source: RNAcentral